Molecule: ribosomal RNA, 555 nt
Filed under: Escherichia coli
Lineage: Bacteria; Pseudomonadati; Pseudomonadota; Gammaproteobacteria; Enterobacterales; Enterobacteriaceae
Also listed under: 1 other name
Description: bacterial SSU rRNA
Rfam family: Bacterial small subunit ribosomal RNA
Source: RNAcentral
UUACCUGGUCUUGACAUCCACGGAAGUUUUCAGAGAUGAGAAUGUGCCUUCGGGAACCGUGAGACAGGUGCUGCAUGGCUGUCGUCAGCUCGUGUUGUGAAAUGUUGGGUUAAGUCCCGCAACGAGCGCAACCCUUAUCCUUUGUUGCCAGCGGUCCGGCCGGGAACUCAAAGGAGACUGCCAGUGAUAAACUGGAGGAAGGUGGGGAUGACGUCAAGUCAUCAUGGCCCUUACGACCAGGGCUACACACGUGCUACAAUGGCGCAUACAAAGAGAAGCGACCUCGCGAGAGCAAGCGGACCUCAUAAAGUGCGUCGUAGUCCGGAUUGGAGUCUGCAACUCGACUCCAUGAAGUCGGAAUCGCUAGUAAUCGUGGAUCAGAAUGCCACGGUGAAUACGUUCCCGGGCCUUGUACACACCGCCCGUCACACCAUGGGAGUGGGUUGCAAAAGAAGUAGGUAGCUUAACCUUCGGGAGGGCGCUUACCACUUUGUGAUUCAUGACUGGGGUGAAGUCGUAACAAGGUAACCGUAGGGGAACCUGCGGUUGGAUCAC